Molecule: transfer RNA, 71 nt
Filed under: Marmota marmota marmota (Alpine marmot)
Lineage: Eukaryota; Metazoa; Chordata; Mammalia; Rodentia; Sciuridae
Also listed under: 3 other names
Rfam family: tRNA
About the family: Transfer RNA (tRNA) molecules are approximately 80 nucleotides in length. Their secondary structure includes four short double-helical elements and three loops (D, anti-codon, and T loops).
Source: Rfam by way of RNAcentral
GUGGCUAUGGCUCAGUGGCAGAGUGCUCACUUAGCACAUGAGAGGCCCUGGGUUCGAUCCUCAGCACCACG